RNAcentral lists this ribosomal RNA (448 nucleotides) under uncultured bacterium. RNAcentral's name for it is "bacterial SSU rRNA". It matches the Rfam family "Bacterial small subunit ribosomal RNA", at positions 329 to 794 of the family's 1533-position model. The record is from RNAcentral.
CCCCAGACUCCUACGGGAGGCAGCAGUGGGGAAUAUUGCACAAUGGGGGAAACCCUGAUGCAGCGACGCCGCGUGAGUGAAGAAGUAUUUCGGUAUGUAAAGCUCUAUCAGCAGGGAAGAAAAUGACGGUACCUGAUUAAGAAGCCCCGGCUAACUGCGUGCCAGCAGCCGCGGUAAUACGUAGGGGGCAAGCGUUAUCCGGAUUUACUGGGUGUAAAGGGAGCGUAGACGGUGAUGCAAGUCAGAAGUGAAAGCCCGGGGCUCAACUCCGGGACUGCUUUUGAAACUGUGCAGCUAGAGUGCAGGAGAGGUAAGUGGAAUUCCUAGUGUAGCGGUGAAAUGCGUAGAUAUUAGGAGGAACACCAGUGGCGAAGGCGGCUUACUGGACUGUAACCGACGUUGAGGCUCGAAAGCGUGGGGAGCAAACAGGAUUAGAUACCCCCGUAGC